Molecule: long non-coding RNA, 2082 nt
Organism: Leopardus geoffroyi (Geoffroy's cat)
Lineage: Eukaryota; Metazoa; Chordata; Mammalia; Carnivora; Felidae
Exons: 3
Source: RefSeq, a predicted model, not a curated record
GGAGGAGGAGGGGGACGAGGAGGGGAGGAGCGGCGGGAGGAGGAGGGGGACGAGGAGGAGGACGGCGGACGGGUGGUUUCCCCCCCACCCCCACCCCCAAGAGGCGGAGCCGCGCGGGUCCGGGCGCCGGGCCGCGGCCACCCGCAGGCGGACACACUCGGACGCGCUCGCACCCCCUCCCCUCCUCUGCCGCCCACCUGGCCCGCCCCGCCCCCCUUUCCGAUCCCUCCCCUCCUACGGGACCCCGGGCGCGCCCCAGCCGGCCCCCGGCACCUCGCUGACGGCCCGCCGAGAUAACGCGCCCCCUCUUCCCGCUCCGGUGGCCGAUUUUCGGAGGAGAGGAAAUUUCACUUUUUCACGGCCGCCGCCGACCCCGCCCCUCCCUUCAGCCCCAUCCCCUUCCCGAGCAGGGCUGAUUUCUACCUCCUGGUGCGGGUGUCUGGGGAGGCGGUGUUGCCAUGGUUUGCCUUGACCUUGGCAAAGGAGGGGAGGGAUAUUGCCCUGGCUUAAGCUACGUUUGAGCUUCCUCAGGUUUCCUUGGCUCCCUGGACCCAGCCCUCGGUGAUAUCAUUUGCCACAUUUUCCUUGGGUGAGCCUGGCUUUCCCGCCUGAAUGUAAGUUACCCAGGGGCUGACACCUGGCCUCAUUCAUAUGUGUACCCCCAAAGCCUAGCCCAGAGCAGGUGCCUGAUAAAUUCUUAGUGCCAUGCAUGGCUCUAAACCCUAAGCAUGGAUUGCCUCACUUCAACUCCCGUUCCUCAUGAGGUAGGUCCCCUCCUGAUGUAAAUGCCAGGCCCAUAUUUACACCCCAGUAGUCUAGCAAUAGAGCUCACCCUCAUAACCCUUAAGGGAUACUGCCUCUAGAAUAAGAUUAAAAGGGGAGCAGAUUCUACACUCACUGCCCCUGACUGCACCACCCUCCUGAAGCAUGCUUGAGUUCAUACCCACUGACAUUUAUUGGGCACCAGCCCACUAGGCAUUGUCCUAAUCCUGUUAAAGGAAUAACGAGAUACGUAUUAUCCUGCACAUUUUAUGGAAACUAAAGCCCUGGCAGAUGAAGACUUGCCCCAGGUCCCACAGGACAAGGACUGAAGGGAGGGGUGUGUGACACCCGCUUUCGGUCAACACUGUCCUAUAGCCCUUCUGGAGUGCAGAUGUCAUGAGGGAGGGAGCCUCCCUCCCUUCCAAGGAAGGUCUUUCUCAUCGUUUGCCCUCUCCACAAAGGUAAAAAGACAGCAUCAGAAAUGGACAGUUGCUCCCUGGAGGUGACCAAACCAAGGCUGGAUGAUCUCUGAUCAGAGCUGCGGGGAAGAGGGCUCAUUUAUUGAGUGGACUAUUUGACUUGAUAAGAUUUGAAGACCUUUCAACUCUAAGAUUAUAUGAAUCUUUCCUUUCUCACCGGGAACACGAGCUUUUAGUCAUUUUGGUUUGGUGAGUGUCAGGUAAAGAAGAGAAUCAGCCAAGAAUGUGUCAUAGGAGGACUGAGACCGAGUUGGGACAGUCGAAAAGAAUGAACCCAGAAUACAGUUUUAUUCGUUUGGUUUUGGUUAAGUCAAACUGUGAAACACGGAAAAUACACAGACUGUACUAUUCACAGGAUGAACAGCCACUUGCAUUUGUCCAAAAUGUGUAAUACACAACCACGGCAGAAGAGGAAAGGAGGCAUUCAGAGAUAUGCAAUUGAAGUGCUUAAUUCAUGGCGAAUCGCUGUGCUGUGGCAGGUUGGAAUCCUGUGGCAGGGUCAUCUAUUUCUACGUGAAACCACUGGCAGUAGCCCUCUUUGCACAUCAGUCUACAGUGUCGCACCUGUUACAGCUCCAGUUUCCCGACGUGGGACAGCUUCUGGACCUUCAGCUAUAUGCCCGUCCCCAACCCUAGUGAUCAUAGCUUUGUAUCAAUUUUCUUCCCUCAUCUAAGGCUGCCCCUUCUGGUUUUCUGCUUGUCUUUCCCCCCCAGGUCCCUCUCCUUUUGCUAUGCCAUACAUGCUGGUGUUCUUAGGGGUUCGGUGUACUUCUCUCUUACUUCCUCAUUCUAGACGCGAUCCCGUUGCCACAUGCUCCCCAAAUACAUGCCUGAACUAUGA